GUUCAAUGUGCGUUGAAGCUCCCCCAGGGCUUGAGGCCAGCAUCGAUGCUAAGCUGGAGCGCCUGGGCGGUUUGCUGUCGGAGGAAGGUUCGGAAGGGAGCAGCCUGGUCACAACUUCUGUCGCUU
This 126-nucleotide non-coding RNA is filed under the name Pelagodinium bei. The record is from RNAcentral. Lineage: Eukaryota; Dinophyceae; Suessiales; Suessiaceae.